Molecule: non-coding RNA, 692 nt
Filed under: Pongo abelii (Sumatran orangutan)
Lineage: Eukaryota; Metazoa; Chordata; Mammalia; Primates; Hominidae
Source: RNAcentral
AGGGGUGCCUGAGGAGAAAGGGGUGCUGGUUCUUCCUUAUAUCAUAUCCCCUGCCUGCCUCAGCUGGGCUCUGACCCAGCCAGCAGACUGGAGUCCUCUUCUGCAUGAUAAGGAAACUGAGGCUUAGAGGAGUUAUGAAACUGCCCAAGGUUUCACAGCUGAAAUGUAUAAGGACCUGGACUUGCAAAUUUGGCACAAAGUUCUUCUAAUAAGAGGCCAUAAAAUAACCAAAUGAUUUUUUAUGUGCCUAUAGAACCAAAAGAACUAUUUCAGAAUGUCAGCUGAAAAGCACGAUAUUCCAGGUAGUCUUAGCAAACAGCACACCAGAAGAUUAUAUCCCAUGUCUGGCUCAGAAGGUCCUAUGCCCAUGGAGCCUCACUCAUUGCUAGCACAGCAGUCUGAGAUCAAACUGCAAGGUGGCAGCGAGGCUGAGGGAGGGGCGCCCACCAUUGCUGAGGUUUGACUUAGAAACCUUGGCAUAGUGCCUUCCUGGAAAUCCUGGAUUGCAUCUAAAACCAUGUGGCAGAGGGAGAAACCACAGACAGGCCAUCCUGAGAAGACUCAGGCUGAGAUGAAAGCUCUGCUCUCCAGGGACAAAGCAGCAGGGGACCAGCCAUGCUCAGAGAUACUCCACUGGCCAGUGCACAUUUUUUUGAGCAAUUUCACUUGCUUCCACACCACCUGCCCCCCUA